UACGUAGGGGGCAAGCGUUGUCCGGAAUCAUUGGGCGUAAAGCGCGUGUAGGCGGUUCAGUAAGUCUGCUGUGAAAGUCCAGGGCUCAACCCUGGGAUGCCGGUGGAUACUGCUGGGCUAGAGUACGGAAGAGGCGAGUGGAAUUCCCGGUGUAGCGGUGAAAUGCGCAGAUAUCAGGAGGAACACCUAUUGCGAAGGCAGCUCGCUGGGACGUCACUGACGCUGAGACGCGAAAGCGUGGGGAGCAAACAGG
RNAcentral lists this ribosomal RNA (253 nucleotides) under uncultured bacterium. Its description in RNAcentral is "partial 16S ribosomal RNA". It matches the Rfam family "Bacterial small subunit ribosomal RNA", at positions 524 to 776 of the family's 1533-position model. The record is from RNAcentral.